CGACCGGCGCACGGGUGAGUAACACGUAUGGAACCUGCCCGCAGGCAGGGGAUAAGCGGAAGAAAUUCCGUCUAAUACCGCGUAACACCGCAGAGGGGCAUCCCUCGGCGGUUAAAGAUUCAUCGGCUGCGGAUGGCCAUGCGGCGCAUUAGCUAGUCGGCGGGGUAACGGCCCACCGAGGCGACGAUGCGUAGGGGUUCUGAGAGGAAGGUCCCCCACACUGGUACUGAGACACGGACCAGACUCCUACGGAAGGCAGCAG
RNAcentral lists this ribosomal RNA (262 nucleotides) under uncultured bacterium. RNAcentral describes it as "partial 16S ribosomal RNA". It matches the Rfam family "Bacterial small subunit ribosomal RNA", at positions 92 to 354 of the family's 1533-position model. The record is from RNAcentral.